RNAcentral lists this ribosomal RNA (205 nucleotides) under uncultured bacterium. RNAcentral describes it as "partial 16S ribosomal RNA". It matches the Rfam family "Bacterial small subunit ribosomal RNA", at positions 1288 to 1500 of the family's 1533-position model. The record is from RNAcentral.
UCAGUUCGGACUGGAGUCUGCAACCCGACUCCACGAAGCUGGAUUCGCUAGUAAUCGCGCAUCAGCCAUGGCGCGGUGAAUACGUUCCCGGGCCUUGUACACACCGCCCGUCAAGCCAUGAAAGCCGGGGGUGCCUGAAGUCCGUGACCGCGAGGGUCGGCCUAGGGUAAAACUGGUGAUUGGGGCUAAGUCGUAACAAGGUAGC